This is a long non-coding RNA of Anneissia japonica, 176 nucleotides long. RefSeq lists it as uncharacterized. Lineage: Eukaryota; Metazoa; Echinodermata; Crinoidea; Comatulida; Comatulidae. The transcript has 2 exons. The record is from RefSeq and is a predicted model, not a curated record.
UACAGACCAAUCAGAAGCAAAUGCUCAUUUUUUGAAGUACUGUAUUAGUUGCUGUAUGUUGGCUUCAUACACAGUUUACAUACUACAGAAUUUAUCAGCACUAUCAAAUAAAUGGUUUUCAAUCCAUUGAAAGGAAGUCAUGUUUGUUGCAAUAUAUUGUUUGUGGUAGACACUGG